This 362-nucleotide unclassified non-coding RNA is filed under the name uncultured bacterium. Its description in RNAcentral is "contains 16S-23S intergenic spacer region". The record is from RNAcentral.
UCCCCGUUACCGAGGCAGUCUAAAUAGAAAAAUUCAACUAUUUACAAGGGUUGCGCUCGUUAAUGGACUUAACCAAACAUCUCACGACACGAGCUGACGACGGCCAUGCAUCACCUGUCACUGCGCUCACAAGGCACAGUCUCCUUUCGGAGACCUUCGCAGGAUGUCAAGCCCUGGUAAGGUUCUUCGCUUAUCAUCGAAUUAAACAACACGCUCCACCGCUUGUGCGGGUCCCCGUCAAUUCCUUUAUGUUUUAAGCUUGCGCUCGUACUCCACAGGCGGGAUGCUUAACGCGUUAGCUUCGCUACUAACCGGGUCGAUACGGUUAACAGCUAGCAUCCAUCGUUUACGGCGUGGACUAC